This 479-nucleotide ribosomal RNA is filed under the name Vibrio scophthalmi. Its description in RNAcentral is "bacterial SSU rRNA". It matches the Rfam family "Bacterial small subunit ribosomal RNA", at positions 94 to 569 of the family's 1533-position model. The record is from RNAcentral. Lineage: Bacteria; Pseudomonadati; Pseudomonadota; Gammaproteobacteria; Vibrionales; Vibrionaceae.
AGCGGCGGACGGGUGAGUAAUGCCUGGGAAUAUGCCUUGAUGUGGGGGAUAACCAUUGGAAACGAUGGCUAAUACCGCAUAAUGCCUACGGGCCAAAGAGGGGGAUCUUCGGACCUCUCGCGUCAAGAUUAGCCCAGGUGGGAUUAGCUAGUUGGUGAGGUAAUGGCUCACCAAGGCGACGAUCCCUAGCUGGUCUGAGAGGAUGAUCAGCCACACUGGAACUGAGACACGGUCCAGACUCCUACGGGAGGCAGCAGUGGGGAAUAUUGCACAAUGGGCGCAAGCCUGAUGCAGCCAUGCCGCGUGUGUGAAGAAGGCCUUCGGGUUGUAAAGCACUUUCAGUCGUGAGGAAGGUAGUUGCGUUAAUAGCGUAAUUAUUUGACGUUAGCGACAGAAGAAGCACCGGCUAACUCCGUGCCAGCAGCCGCGGUAAUACGGAGGGUGCGAGCGUUAAUCGGAAUUACUGGGCGUAAAGCGCA